GUCUGGUCCAAUGGCAGUGGGUUAUCAGAACUUAUUAACAUUAGUGUCACUAAAGUUGGUAUACCACCCCCCUUCUCCCCCCCAAUGCUAAAUUUAGUUGGCUUAA
Molecule: unclassified non-coding RNA, 106 nt
Organism: Cavia aperea (Brazilian guinea pig)
Lineage: Eukaryota; Metazoa; Chordata; Mammalia; Rodentia; Caviidae
Rfam family: Y RNA
About the family: Y RNAs are components of the Ro ribonucleoprotein particle (Ro RNP), in association with Ro60 and La proteins. The Y RNAs and Ro60 and La proteins are well conserved, but the function of the Ro RNP is not known.
Source: Ensembl